AGACUGGAGGGACGGACCUGCGGGAGCCAGGGCUGCCCCCGAGCUGCAGUUGCCGCUGCUUCCACUGUCGCGCCGCCACUGCCGUCGCUGUCGCUGUCAGCGCCUGUCUGGAGAGUGACAGCGCCGCAAAAGCGGGAGGGAGCACCGAACCCCGCGCGUUUACGAAACAGGUGUAUGUGCCGGUCUCCUGGCGAGUGGACCCAGCUCGCAAGGUAACCAUUCAUGAGCCUGAGGCUGUGAGAAAUGCUCGCUGUGCGAAGGGGAAUUCUCACCAGAUUUUCUAAAGCUGUCCUAGAGAUACACUUUUCAGAUUGAUUCAGCAUUACCAGCUUAUCCAACAAAAGUAUUAACAUACACAUUAACAACGUCGAAAGUAGCCUACUUUAAGAGAAAAUAUGCAGAAGAAGAAGAUUUACAUCAAGAUUACCAUGGGUAUUUUCCAAAACACCUGAUAUUGCCUGAGGACAGGACUUGCAUUCUCAAACUUUCUCUGGAGAAGCUCAGAUUUCUUGAAGACCCAGAAACCUACUUAAGAAGGUCUGUGUUAAUUAACAAUUUGCUGAGGAAGAUCCACCUAGAGACGGAGAAAGAGAGCUAUGAAUACUUUAAAGAAGCUCCGUGUUAUAAGACUGCUUAUUCUGAUACAAGAAAACGGCUGAAGUUUAUGGUACAGGAAUGCUGUUCUCAGUCUCUCUAUUAUGAAGAGCUGCAUUCAUAUCAUAUUGUGCCUUAUGCUUCGGAGAAUGCCAUUUAUGGAAUGGGCUACACUAGCAGCCACUUGGAGCAAAAUUCUCAGUUGCUUAUUUAUAAAAUGAAUUAAAGUAACUGUUAAAGUCCAUUGAUACCUUGUUUCUAAAUGCCUGAACUGUUUAUAGUGAAGAUGUUAACAUAAGGCACUAAUUAUCAGUGCCCUUGAGAUCAAAGAUGAGAUGCAUGCUGAACUGAUUGGAGAGAUCCCUGGUUAUUAUUCAGCAGUCCUUAGUAUCAACCAGCCAAGUUGAAAAUAUGUCCACCUAUCAUAAAGCAGAGAAUAAGUGCUUUAGAAACAUUUUUUUUUUUAAGAUAAACUGUGUAGGAAGGAACCUACAUCAAGUUCUUACACAGAUUUAAACAUUUCAAGUAUCCCCCCCCCAUUUCCAAAUUCUACCACUCUUAGUGGAAAGUAACAAAAAGUAACAGGUUCAGAUUAUUAUUAAAAUGCUUUGGCUUGUCAAGCAUUGUGCCAAAUAAUUGACACCAUUCUCUUUACCAUUAGUGGCAAUUCAAGAUGAGGCGAACAUACUGCAAUUUAACUGCUGAAUGUAAAACCAGAACACUCCACAUGGAUCCAUUUUACUUUUUUUUUUUUUCUUUUUUGGCUUCAUCGAGUUUUCUUGUUAAAAGUGAAAUUUAAUAAAAUAGCCUUAGAGAUGGGCUUACCUCUGA
Phacochoerus africanus (Common warthog) is the source of this 1425-nucleotide long non-coding RNA. RefSeq lists it as uncharacterized. The record is from RefSeq and is a predicted model, not a curated record. Lineage: Eukaryota; Metazoa; Chordata; Mammalia; Artiodactyla; Suidae. The transcript has 4 exons.